GCCAGAUUUCAGGGAGACAACAGAUAUCUGGAAGAAAAAGGGGAAUCGUUCGUCCGGUGUAGGCGAUCGCGGUUGGAGGUCAAAGGGUUCAAACAGGAAGUUACCCGAGCAACUCGCCCCCCAGUCCCGACCCGUUGCAGGCCGGAGCGGACGGGUCACCUGAUCACGUUGUUCUUCGACCCUCUGAGUAGAUCAGUGGGAGGCCUGGACAAUGAUACGUACACACUCAUACGCACAUUACAAUCUCUUUUCUAUUCUGUCUCACCCUCUGUCUAUCUGUCUGUCUGUCUGUCUGUCUCCCUUCCCAGCAGGCACUGCUCUGACGAUGAACUUAUUUGUUUGGGCCAAACGCUUGUGAAUGUGUCGAUUAAUCACACUGACAUCGUUUUUUUAAGACAUGAUGACGCAAAGCCGGUAUGUAUACGUAUGACUCUAUGUCUAAACUACUUCAUAGUCAUACUAGACACACACACAUGUCCCUGUGUCAUGAAGGUAAAUCAAAUGGUCCAUUAAAUAAAAUAAACGAUUUACAAAUUUAAGAAAGAAGGUAGUGAGAAUACUACUUUUAAUUGAUGGAUUGUUAUUUAAUUGAUUUUUGGGCAAGGACACUGUGACUGAAGUGGUUCAGAAAACGUAAAUGUUUACAAAAUGUGUGGAAUGUGUGAUGGAAAUUUUUGUAAUUUAUAGUGACAUUUUUUCAAGUCGGUUAACGUGUGUAUGUUCAUCAGAAAUGACCAGUUCCAUGUAGAAUUACACGUGUGACAUUUCAAUCAUCUGGAAUAAAAGUGUUUUAUUGUU
Molecule: non-coding RNA, 798 nt
Organism: Gasterosteus aculeatus aculeatus (three-spined stickleback)
Lineage: Eukaryota; Metazoa; Chordata; Actinopteri; Perciformes; Gasterosteidae
Source: RefSeq, a predicted model, not a curated record